Molecule: long non-coding RNA, 260 nt
Filed under: Drosophila guanche
Lineage: Eukaryota; Metazoa; Arthropoda; Insecta; Diptera; Drosophilidae
Source: RNAcentral
GGGUCGUGCCAAGGGGCGAUGGCGAUAAUCUGGGCUCGAAACUAGGAAGGGUGCUUUGAGGCGCCGUUUUACAACUUUGCAACGGGCGCAAAUAUUCCUUGGCACGGCCUUGCUGCUCCACCUAUCAAAGAAGUCUGCAGAUGUUAUUCCCAGCCAUAUGCAAAUUCUCUGUCAUAUUUUCAAACUGCGGAAUAUGCAAGGGUAUCGUUUCAUGGAUUUCCAUAAAUGAACACAUAUUUAUAUGAUUUAUAAUACUCAAA